AGAGUUUGAUCCUGGCUCAGAAUGAACGUUGGCGGCGUGGAUUAGGCAUGCAAGUCGAACGGACCAUGGGUAGCAAUACUUAUGGUCAGUGGCGCAAGGGAGAGUAAUACGUAGGUAUUUACCCUGGGGUCUGGGAUAGCGGCGGGAAACUGCCGGUAAUACCAGAUGAUAUCUCCGGAUCAAAGGUGUGAUUCCGCCCUAGGAGAAGCCUGCGGCCUAUUAGCUAGUUGGCAGGGUAACGGCCUACCAAGGCAAAGAUGGGUAUGGGGCGUGAGAGCGUGCCCCCACUCACUGGGACUGAGACACUGCCCAGACACCUACGGGUGGCUGCAGUCGAGAAUCUUCGGCAAUGGGCGCAAGCCUGACCGAGCGACGCCGCGUGCGGGAUGAAGGCCUUCGGGUUGUAAACCGCUGUCGAAGGGGAGGAAAUGCAGGUGGGUUCACCCAUCUGUUUGACCGAUCCUUGGAGGAAGGGCCGGCUAAUCUCGUGCCAGCAGCCGCGGUAAUACGAGAGGCCCAAACGUUAUUCGGAUUUACUGGGCUUAAAGAGUUCGUAGGCGGUUCGGUAAGUGAGGUGUGAAAGCCCUCGGCUCAACCGAGGAAUUGCGCUUCAAACUGCCGGGCUCGAGGGAGAUAGAGGUGAGCGGAACUGAUGGUGGAGCGGUGAAAUGCGUUGAUAUCAUCAGGAACACCAGAGGCGAAGGCGGCUCACUGGGUCUCUUCUGACGCUGAGGAACGAAAGCUAGGGGAGCAAACGGGAUUAGAUACCCUGGUAGUCC
This 779-nucleotide ribosomal RNA is filed under the name uncultured bacterium. RNAcentral's name for it is "bacterial SSU rRNA". It matches the Rfam family "Bacterial small subunit ribosomal RNA", at positions 8 to 796 of the family's 1533-position model. The record is from RNAcentral.